Molecule: transfer RNA, 71 nt
Filed under: Oryctes borbonicus
Lineage: Eukaryota; Metazoa; Arthropoda; Insecta; Coleoptera; Scarabaeidae
Rfam family: tRNA
About the family: Transfer RNA (tRNA) molecules are approximately 80 nucleotides in length. Their secondary structure includes four short double-helical elements and three loops (D, anti-codon, and T loops).
Source: Rfam by way of RNAcentral
GGUUCUGUGGUGUAGCGGUAGCACGCCCAUUCGGCAAAUGGGAGUCACAGGUUCGAAUUCCGCCGGCGUCU